GGCUCUCAUUAACAGCCAGCGUCAUCCAGGGUUUGGAAAAGUUACUUUUUGGGACAACUGCUAUCUCUGGCCAUGUUGGUCGAAGAGUUCGGAUGGCUGCGAUUUAAGAAAAAGCCACUUCUCGAAGCUGCGGUCUCACCUAGUGCUUUCAGUGUAGUUGAGCUUUAUACGGCGUUUCUGCCAAAUCCAGUGUGACGAUGUUGCUAGCAGGGCCAGCUCUUUUUGGCACGACUUGCUGAGUUUCCCAGGAGAAACGACAAGAACAAGAACAAAAAGAGAAUCUUGCUGCUGCUUCUUUGCCUUCUUUUACAUCUUGACCAUCUCAGCCAAAGCAUGGCCUCUUUCUCCCCACUCCCCCUUCCUGUGGGUUCCCUGGGUCACGUGUAGCUUGGAAAGGACAAACCCCAUAGUCUCUUCUGCCCGGUUAACAGUGUUCUGAAGGCUGGGAGAGAAGAGGGAAGAAUGGCCGUUCCUACACAGGCUUUCAUGUUCAAAAGCGAGUCACCAGUUGCUUCUGUUCUGCCAGCCGCACAGUGCUACUGCGUGGCAGAGAGACUGCGUAGCUGCCUGAUCAAGCUUUGAAUUACCAGGAGGAGGAGGCAGCAAAGGAGGUAAGCAGUGGUGAGAAAGAGGAGGUGGCCUGCGUCACUCAAAGGCCCAUGUUCUCCCUGCUGCUGGCCAACCGGACUGCGUGGUAUCGCUAAAGCUCCAAGUUUGCAGCAUGCAACUGGAAGGAGAGCAAAGUGUUCAUAUCGAACAAGCUCUGGAAUGGCUAAGGAAAGAGCUGCUGGAAAUGCAACUCCAGGACCAGCAGCUACUGGAGAAGCUGUUGCAGCUACACACGGCCCUGCGGGAGCUGAAAGUGGAGAGUGCUGACUGGGAGAGCUCUGAUCCCAGCAGAAACGGGUUUGGAUCCAGAGCCCGCUCCAGAUCAGAAGACAUGGGCACCCUCCUUCCUCCAAGGAGAUCCCUCAGACUUGAGCCACGCCGGAGAAAUUCUCUCCCUUGAACAGACCCAUGGAAUCCCUGGGAGAAUCAUCUACUAUUUUAAACACCAUGAUCCGUUUGCCAGCAAAAUCCAAGAGGACUCUGUAUUGUUGUGGCCAGCUUUAAAAAAGAAUGAAAUUCUGUGACUGGGAAGCAGAUCACAUUGUGCAAAUGCAUCAUUAGCAGAAUAGAUGCACACAUGCACAGUUUAUUGUGCACACGCGAUUCAAGUUUCCAACUGUUUGGGACCUCACCUUUUCGCACAAGGGAAGAUGGUAGAAUUUGGAAGCAGUGGCCAUGCAGAGGUAUAGUAGUAUCAUCACAACAGCAAAAUCACUAGCCACGAGCUACAGCUUACAACAGUGUUGUCUGAGCCUGAAGAGAUGAGAGUGAACAUUCAGUUACAGACGGUCAUCAUUAUCUUCUCGUUUAGUUUAGCUAAAAGAGAAUUCCAGUGACGCGGGAAUCUCACCUUGAACUGAUUCAUGCAAGCCAUUUCUAAGGACUCUAGUGGGCAAAGACUACCAUACAAUUAGCUCUGCAUCUGUUAAAAGGCUCCAAAUCACAACUGAUCACAUCACACAUGUCAGGCUUCUCCAAGUCACUGUCCUCCAUGUAUGCUGGACGGCAAGUCCCAAUUUUCCCAGAGAUUUUCCUUGGGGGGAGUUUUUACUGGAAAAAAAGUCUAAGUCUGUUUAGACGUGAAUGAUGCUUUUGGUAUGUCAAUCGCUUUAUUGUAGACUGUGAACUGGAAAGCAGUCCAUUUUUUCUCAGAGAUGUGUUUUCCAGACAUUUAUUUUUCAAGCAGCAUGUUCAACAGUGAAUUCUUAAAUGUGUGGCAAAACUGCAAAUCUGUAGAUGAAGCCCAGUGACCUGGGCUUCUUUAAAUGGAUAACAUCUACAGUACCAGUGUGCGCCCCCCCCCCGCCGCCCUUUACAUCUCUCUCUGAAGUAAAAUAUUAAGUGACAUAUUCUUACUGUCACUAUGUACCCCAAAGUGCCAAAAAUGCACAAGUGCCGUG
Molecule: long non-coding RNA, 2009 nt
Organism: Pogona vitticeps (central bearded dragon)
Lineage: Eukaryota; Metazoa; Chordata; Lepidosauria; Squamata; Agamidae
Source: Ensembl